Molecule: ribosomal RNA, 253 nt
Filed under: uncultured bacterium
Lineage: Bacteria
Description: partial 16S ribosomal RNA
Rfam family: Bacterial small subunit ribosomal RNA
Source: RNAcentral
UACGUAGGGUGCAAGCGUUGUCCGGAAUUAUUGGGCGUAAAGAGCUCGUAGGCGGCUUGUCACGUCGGAUGUGAAAGCCCGAGGCUUAACCUCGGGUCUGCAUUCGAUACGGGCUAGCUAGAGUGUGGUAGGGGAGAUCGGAAUUCCUGGUGUAGCGGUGAAAUGCGCAGAUAUCAGGAGGAACACCAGUGGCGAAGGCGAGUCUCUGGACAUUUCCUGACGCUGAGGCACGAAAGCCAGGGGAGCAAACGGG